CGCAACCGAUUGAUCUAGCCAUGAGCAGGUUGAAGAGAGCUCUAACAGGUCUUGGAGGACCGAACCCACGUAUGUGGCAAAAUACGGGGAUGACUUGUGGCAAGGGGUGAAAGGCCAACCAAGAUCGGAUAUAGCU
Molecule: non-coding RNA, 136 nt
Filed under: Morus notabilis
Lineage: Eukaryota; Viridiplantae; Streptophyta; Magnoliopsida; Rosales; Moraceae
Description: Bacterial large subunit ribosomal RNA
Rfam family: Bacterial large subunit ribosomal RNA
Source: Rfam by way of RNAcentral